AAGUGCCAGAGUUUUGCUCAGAGUGAUGACAGCCAGCGAGGCCUGCUGGGACAGCGCUCGGGCCGCGGAGCGGGCUCGGCACUCACCGCCUGCAGGGAGCACAAAGGCUCAGGGUUACCACUUAAACACCGGCAUUUUCUCUCCAUCGUUCCUACACACACGGGGAUUUGCAGAGCUGUUGCUGAACAAUAGGUCUCAGGAUAUAAAAGACAUGCUCGGAAGUUACCCCUUUUUAAGCACGUUAAGGAAAGAGACUUGGAUUUUUUUGCAUUUGCUUCCCUUUUUCUCUGCUUCCAGAAAUGCUUUGUUACAUUGA
This 316-nucleotide long non-coding RNA is filed under the name Cyanistes caeruleus (blue tit). Its description in RNAcentral is "lncRNA (ENSCCEG00000005953.1)". Lineage: Eukaryota; Metazoa; Chordata; Aves; Passeriformes; Paridae. The record is from RNAcentral.